This 332-nucleotide ribosomal RNA is filed under the name uncultured Acidobacteriota bacterium. RNAcentral describes it as "bacterial SSU rRNA". It matches the Rfam family "Bacterial small subunit ribosomal RNA", at positions 568 to 898 of the family's 1533-position model. Lineage: Bacteria; Pseudomonadati; Acidobacteriota. The record is from RNAcentral.
CGCGUAGGCGGCGCGGUAAGUCACUUGUGAAAUCUCUGAGCUUAACUCAGAACGGCCAAGUGAUACUGCAGUGCUAGAGUGUAGAAGGGGCAAUCGGAAUUCUUGGUGUAGCGGUGAAAUGCGUAGAUAUCAAGAGGAACACCUGAGGUGAAGACGGGUUGCUGGUCUAACACUGACGCUGAGGCGCGAAAGCCAGGGGAGCAAACGGGAUUAGAUACCCCGGUAGUCCUGGCCCUAAACGAUGAAUACUUGGUGUCCGGGGUUUCAAGACCCUGGGUGCCGUCGCUAACGUUUUAAGUAUUCCGCCUGGGGAGUACGCUCGCAAGAGUGAA